RNAcentral lists this ribosomal RNA (457 nucleotides) under uncultured bacterium. RNAcentral describes it as "bacterial SSU rRNA". It matches the Rfam family "Bacterial small subunit ribosomal RNA", at positions 28 to 485 of the family's 1533-position model. The record is from RNAcentral.
GACGAACGCUGGCGGCGUGCCUAACACAUGCAAGUCAAUUUGACUGAAGGAGCAAUCUGACAGUAGAGUGGCGCAAGGGUGCGUAACGCGUAAGUAACUUGCCCCAAGGUAAGGAAUAACGUCGAGAAAUCGGCGCUAAUACCUCAUAAUGCAGCGGAUCCGCAUGGAUAUGUUGUUAAAGGUUUACCGCCUUGGGAUAGGCUUGCGUCUGAUUAGUUAGUUGGUGUGGUAACGGCACACCAAGGCUACGAUCAGUAACUGGUCUGAGAGGAUGAUCAGUCACACUGGAACUGAGACACGGUCCAGACUCCUACGGGAGGCAGCAGUGAGGAAUAUUGGGCAAUGCUCGAAAGAGUGACCCAGCAACGCCGCGUGGAGGAUGAAGGUAUUCUAUAUCGUAAACUCCUGUGAGAGCAGACGAAAGACAGAUUAUAAUCUGGAUGACUGUAUGCUCAGA